RNAcentral lists this ribosomal RNA (432 nucleotides) under uncultured bacterium. RNAcentral describes it as "partial 16S ribosomal RNA". It matches the Rfam family "Bacterial small subunit ribosomal RNA", at positions 29 to 507 of the family's 1533-position model. The record is from RNAcentral.
ACGAACGCUGGCGGCAGGCCUAACACAUGCAAGUCGAGCGAGGACUUCGGUUCUAGCGGCGGACGGGUGAGUAACGCGUGGGAAUGUGCCCUUCUCUACGGAAUAGCCCUGGGAAACUGGGAGUAAUACCGUAUACGCCCUAUUGGGGAAAGAUUUAUCGGAGAAGGAUCAGCCCGCGUUGGAUUAGGUAGUUGGUGGGGUAAUGGCCUAUCAAGCCGACGAUCCAUAGCUGGUUUGAGAGGAUGAUCAGCCACACUGGGACUGAGACACGGCCCAGACUCCUACGGGAGGCAGCAGUGGGGAAUCUUAGACAAUGGGGGCAACCCUGAUCUAGCCAUGCCGCGUGAGUGAUGAAGGCCUUAGGGUUGUAAAGCUCUUUCAGCUGGGAAGAUAAUGACGGUACCAGCAGAAGAAGCCCCGGCUAACUCCGUG